This 596-nucleotide long non-coding RNA is filed under the name Urocitellus parryii (Arctic ground squirrel). RNAcentral describes it as "lncRNA (ENSUPAG00010014493.1)". The record is from RNAcentral. Lineage: Eukaryota; Metazoa; Chordata; Mammalia; Rodentia; Sciuridae.
CAGGCUCCUGGCCUGGAGGAGUGCAGACGGCCCAACAAGAACAGGAACCACUCCACCACGUGUCUGCUGUCCCGGUGCCAAGUGCCACUUGACAGCCACCCCAGUGGGCCAGGACCGUCAUGUCCCCACCUCACCGUGGGGGACAGUCUCAGGUUUUCUCAGACCUUGACGACCCUGACGUCAUGUCCCAGCACGAGACAAAGAAUCCCGGGCUCSGGCUGAUAACGGGAGGACGUGUGACCUGUCUGGACCUUUGGGACCCGCCAGCCCCCCUGCAGGCUCCUGUGCCCACCAGCGGGUCUUGGCUGUCCCCAGGGGAUUCCUGUUCCUGCUGACGUUGGGGACGUGCUAUUUCUGGUGACCUCAGCCAGGUGCUCCCUCAAGUUCCCAGGUUUCYAGGUUUGCAGACCCUGGCGGCUUCUUGUCCCCCAUGGCCACUGUCCUCUGGGAAUAUUGUCAUCGUCUCCUUACCAAGCUCUGCCUGCCCCUCCCCUUGCCCCGACAUUUCUCCAUUCUGCCGAGGGAACCUGUUCCAGCCAAGUCAGGUUCCACCCCACUCUGCCCAGUUGCCCUCCACUGGCGACUGUAAAAGCCAG